UACGAGGGGGGCAAAUGUUGUUCGGAAUCACUGGGCGUAAAGGGAGCGUAGGCGGGUUUUUAAGUCAGGUGUUUAAUCCCGGGGCCCAACCCCGGACCGGCACUUGAAACUGGGAAUCUUGAAUAGGGGAGAGGUCAGUGGAAUUGGAGGUGUAGCGGUGGAAUGCGUAGAGAUCUCCAAGAACACCAGUUGCGAAGGCGGCUGACUGGACCCAUAUUGACGCUGAGGCGCGAAAGCUAGGGGAGCAAACGGG
Molecule: ribosomal RNA, 253 nt
Filed under: uncultured bacterium
Lineage: Bacteria
Description: partial 16S ribosomal RNA
Rfam family: Bacterial small subunit ribosomal RNA
Source: RNAcentral